GAUGAACGCUAGCGGCAGGCUUAACACAUGCAAGUCGAGGGGCAGCACGGGUAGCAAUACCUGGUGGCGACCGGCAAACGGGUGCGGAACACGUACGCAACAUACCUUUUACUGGGGCAUAGCCUUCUGAAAAGAAGAUUAACACCCCAUAAUAUCAAUGACUGGCAUCAGUUGAUGAUUAAAAUUUAUUGGUAAGAGAUUGGCGUGCGUCCUAUUAGCUAGNGGUAUGGGUAAUGGCCUACCAAGGCGACGAUAGGUAGCUGGUGUGAGAGCACGACCAGCCACACGGGCACUGAGACACGGGCCCGACUCCUACGGGAGGCAGCAGUGGGAAUUUU
Molecule: ribosomal RNA, 338 nt
Filed under: uncultured bacterium
Lineage: Bacteria
Description: bacterial SSU rRNA
Rfam family: Bacterial small subunit ribosomal RNA
Source: RNAcentral